GGGGGCAAGUGCACACCCAUCAUCCUCAUCUCUCCACCUGUGCACCUCUUGUAGACUUGGAUUAACUUUCCGAGGCAACUCGGUCGGGAGGAUUGCUGGCACUCGCUGGCUAUCCUUGCAUUUCCAGGUCUAUGUUUUUCAUAUACCCCAUUGUAUGUAACAGAAUGUAUCAUUGGGCCUUGUGCCUAUAAAAACUAUACAACUUUCAGCAACGGAUCUCUUGGCUCUCGCAUCGAUGAAGAACGCAGCGAAAUGCGAUAAGUAAUGUGAAUUGCAGAAUUCAGUGAAUCAUCGAAUCUUUGAACGCACCUUGCGCUCCUUGGUAUUCCGAGGAGCAUGCCUGUUUGAGUGUCAUUAAAUUCUCAACCUUUAUCAGCUUUUGUUGAUAAUGGCUUGGAUAUGGGGGUCUAUUUUGCUGGCUUCUUCACAGAUGGUCAGCUCCCCUUAAAUGCAUUAGCCGGUGCCCCGUGUGGACUGUCUAUUGGUGUGAUAAUUAUCUAUGCCGUGGACAUCUGCAAUCAUAUGGGUGUGCACUGCUUCCAACCGUCUGUUCAUUCAGACAAUACAUGACAAUUGACCUCAAAUCA
RNAcentral lists this ribosomal RNA (587 nucleotides) under Hebeloma radicosum. RNAcentral's name for it is "eukaryotic LSU rRNA". The stretch from base 201 to 354 matches the Rfam family "5.8S ribosomal RNA". The record is from RNAcentral. Lineage: Eukaryota; Fungi; Basidiomycota; Agaricomycetes; Agaricales; Hymenogastraceae.